RNAcentral lists this long non-coding RNA (296 nucleotides) under Ananas comosus (pineapple). Its description in RNAcentral is "long non-coding RNA (ACOM_LNC034471)". Lineage: Eukaryota; Viridiplantae; Streptophyta; Magnoliopsida; Poales; Bromeliaceae. The record is from RNAcentral.
UCAAUGUAAAAUCAUAAAAAGUAGUGUUUUUGUUGAAACAAAAUUAGUAGAAAAAAAAAAAUAGUUUUUAAUCAAUAUUUGUUUCAUUAAAAGGAAAAAGAUCCAUAUUUAUUUGGUUCAGUAAAAAAAAUAAACCAUAAAAAUUUUAUGCAACUUGAGUUUUCGUUUUUCACCGAAAAAUAGCGAAAAAUGAAAAUUUUAAAUUUUUUACAAAUCUGUAAAAAUACUUUUACGGACGAAUAUUAUUACAUCGAAAAAAAAAAAAAAAAAAAAAAAAAAAAGAAAAGAAAAGAAAA